UACGUAGGCAGCAAGCGUUGUUCGGAGUUACUGGGCGUAAAGAGUAUGUAGGCGGUUGGGUAAGUUUGGUGUGAAAUCUCCCGGCUUAACUGGGAGGGUGCGCUAAAGACUGCCUGGCUCGAGUGUGGGAGAGGAAAGCGGAAUUCCUGGUGUAGCGGUGAAAUGCGCAGAUAUCAGGAAGAACACCCGUGGCUAAGGCGGCUCUCUAGUACGGUACUGACGCUGAGACGCGAAAGCGUGGGGAGCGAACAGG
RNAcentral lists this ribosomal RNA (253 nucleotides) under uncultured bacterium. RNAcentral's name for it is "partial 16S ribosomal RNA". It matches the Rfam family "Bacterial small subunit ribosomal RNA", at positions 524 to 776 of the family's 1533-position model. The record is from RNAcentral.